RNAcentral lists this non-coding RNA (520 nucleotides) under Perkinsus marinus ATCC 50983. RNAcentral describes it as "Eukaryotic large subunit ribosomal RNA". It matches the Rfam family "Eukaryotic large subunit ribosomal RNA", at positions 1 to 522 of the family's 3401-position model. Lineage: Eukaryota; Perkinsozoa; Perkinsida; Perkinsidae. The record is from Rfam by way of RNAcentral.
AAGGCCUGAUGUGUGUGAGAUUACCCGCUGAAUUUAAGCAUAUAAGUAAGCGGAGGAAAAGAAACUAACUAGGAUUCCCUUAGUAAUGGCGAAUGAACAGGGAUCAGCUCAGUGCCAAAUCGGAAUCACUUGUGGUUCUGAAAUGUGGCUUGAAGGCAGUACCAGUGGCAUCGCGGACGAAAGUCUCUUGGAAAAGAGCGUCAUAGAGGGUGAGAAUCCCGUGAGUCGUUCGCCGUUUGUCACGUACGGUCUGCGUUCUAACGAGUCGCGUUCCUUGGGAUUGGAGCGUAAACGGGUGGUAAAUUUCAUCCAAAGCAAAAUAUAUACUCGAGACCGAUAGCACAAAAGUACCGUGAGGGAAAGGUGAAAAGAACUUUGAGAAGAGGGUUAAAUAGUGCCUGAAUCGUUGAGAAGAAGCGGAUGCCGCCGUUGCAUAUGCUGAUUGUAGAUGCUGCUCGCUCCUGUCUCUGCUACUCAUCACAGACCUGGUCGUGUUGAGCAGUUGUUUGGCAGAUGUUAG